Molecule: ribosomal RNA, 496 nt
Filed under: uncultured bacterium
Lineage: Bacteria
Description: partial 16S ribosomal RNA
Rfam family: Bacterial small subunit ribosomal RNA
Source: RNAcentral
GAUGAACGCUGGCGGCGUGCCUAAUACAUGCAAGUCGAGCGAACAGAUGAGGAGCUUGCUCCUCUGACGUUAGCGGCGGACGGGUGAGUAACACGUGGAUAACCUACCUAUAAGACUGGGAUAACUUCGGGAAACCGGAGCUAAUACCGGAUAAUAUAUUGAACCGCAUGGUUCAAUAGUGAAAGACGGUUUUGCUGUCACUUAUAGAUGGAUCCGCGCCGCAUUAGCUAGUUGGUAAGGUAACGGCUUACCAAGGCAACGAUGCGUAGCCGACCUGAGAGGGGGUAGGCCCCCCGAGAAGUUGAACGGCGGCCAGGGGCCUGAGGGGGGGCCCAAGCUGGGACGUUAGCCAAAAGGGGGGAGGCUUGCAGGAGGAACGGAGGCGUGAUGAAGAAGGGCUUCGGGCGGGAAAACGUUUUUAGGGGGGAAAAACAAAUUUGUAAGUAACGAAGCGUGUGUGACGGUAACCUAAAAAGAAGCCCCGGCUAACUACGUG